RNAcentral lists this small nuclear RNA (107 nucleotides) under Phlebotomus papatasi. The record is from RNAcentral. Lineage: Eukaryota; Metazoa; Arthropoda; Insecta; Diptera; Psychodidae.
GAAAUUAUUUGCAUUUCAUGAGACAAUAGAGUUCAGAUUUAGAAGAUUAACAUGACCCCUGUGCAAAUAGGUAUGAGACGCAAAAUCAUGAAGCGUUCCACGUGUGU